GAUGAAGAACGCAGCGAAAUGCGAUACGUAAUGUGAAUUGCAGAAUUCAGGGAAUCAUCGAAUCUUUGAACGCAUAUUGCGCUCUCUGGUAUUCCGGAGAGCAUGCUUGUUUGAGUAUCAGUAAACACCUCAACUCCCUUUUCUUUUUUGAAAUGGGAGCUGGACUUGAGUGAUCCCAACGCUUUUCUCACCGGAAAGUGGCGGGUUACUUGAAAUGCAGGUGCAGCUGUACUUUUCUCUGAGCUAUAAGCAUAUCUAUUUAGUCUGCCUAAAAACAGAUUAUUACCUUUGCUGCAGCUAACAUAAAGGAGAUUAGUUCUUGUGCUGACUGAUGCAGGAUUCACAGAGACAGCUUCGGCUGACUUUGUAAACUCGAUCUCAAAUCAAGUAAGACUACCCGCUGAACUUAAGCAUAUCAAUAAGCGGAGGA
Molecule: unclassified non-coding RNA, 430 nt
Filed under: soil metagenome
Description: partial contains 5.8S ribosomal RNA, internal transcribed spacer 2, and large subunit ribosomal RNA
Rfam family: 5.8S ribosomal RNA (bases 1-120)
Source: RNAcentral